This is a non-coding RNA of Schizosaccharomyces pombe (fission yeast), 422 nucleotides long. The record is from the annotation of a GenBank genome assembly. NCBI's taxonomy places the organism in Eukaryota, Fungi, Ascomycota, Schizosaccharomycetes, Schizosaccharomycetales, Schizosaccharomycetaceae.
UAUUUACCAUAAAGAGGACAAAUGUGGGUGGUCGGCGGAAAUCUGGAUGUCUUAACAGCCAGCCCUUUUUAAGAAAAACUGUUUAUACAUAAGCAAAUGUAAACAACACAACUUGAAACAUUACUUUGGCGUUAUUUGAUUGUAUGAUACUCUUCAAAAUGACGUUAAGUAGCUAGGUAGUUAAAUAUUUUGGCGUCCGGUGGCUUUCGAAAAGUAGAAACGCGUGGGAUAAAACAAUUGGUAUCUAGAUAGUACUUGAAAUAAUAUUCAGGAGUAGUAAGUAUCAGUAGAUUUUCCAAAUACAAGCAUUUCGCCAAGAGCUACUUAUUAAAAACGCGCUCGCGAAAAUUUAAUUUCUUGACAGUGGAACAUGGGAGUAAAUAUAUUUAUGUAAUUUGAAUUGAAAAAUGCUUGGUGAUUCG